CCUACGGGUGACAGCAGUGGGGAAUAUUGCACAAUGGGGGAAACCCUGAUGCAGCGACGCCGCGUGAGCGAAGAAGUCUUUCGGUACGUAAAGCUCUAUCAGCAGGGAAGAAAAUGACGGUACCUGACUAAGAAGCCCCGGCUAACUACGUGCCAGCAGCCGCGGUAAUACGUAGGGGGCUAGCGUUAUCCGGAUUUACUGGGGGUAAAGGGAGCGUAGACGGCAGCGCAAGUCUGGAGUGAAAUCCCGGGGCUUAACCAUGGACCAGCCUUGGAAACGGGGCAGCUGGAGUGCAGGAGAGGUAAGCGGAAUGCGUGGGGUAGCGGUGAAAUGCGUAGAUAUUAGGAGGAACACC
Molecule: ribosomal RNA, 355 nt
Filed under: uncultured bacterium
Lineage: Bacteria
Description: partial 16S ribosomal RNA
Rfam family: Bacterial small subunit ribosomal RNA
Source: RNAcentral